RNAcentral lists this small RNA (85 nucleotides) under Salmonella enterica. RNAcentral's name for it is "partial RtT sRNA". It matches the Rfam family "RtT RNA", at positions 47 to 130 of the family's 130-position model. From Rfam's summary of the family: This family represents a bacterial cis-regulatory element known as RtT RNA. The record is from RNAcentral. RNAcentral also lists the same sequence under 2 other names. Lineage: Bacteria; Pseudomonadati; Pseudomonadota; Gammaproteobacteria; Enterobacterales; Enterobacteriaceae.
UUCGAGCGCAGCGAGAAAGCGUUGCCGCAGGCAACGACCCGAAGGGCGAAGCGCGCAGCGCUGAGUAAUCCUUCCCCCACCACCA